UGGGGAAUCUUGCGCAAUGGACGAAAGUCUGACGCAGCAACGCCGCGUGAGUGAAGAAGGCCUUCGGGUUGUAAAGCUCUGUCGAGCGGGACGAAAAAUGAUUAGGUGAAUAGCCUAGUCAUCUGACGGUACCGCUAAAGGAAGCACCGGCUAACUCCGUGCCAGCAGCCGCGGUAAUACGGAGGGUGCAAGCGUUGCUCGGAAUUAUUGGGCGUAAAGGGUAGGUAGGUGGUCUCAUUUGUCUGGGGUGAAAGCCUUGAGCUUAACUCAAGAAGUGCCCUAGAAACGGUGAGACUAGAGUUCUGGAGAGGGUCGUGGAAUUCCCGGUGUAGCGGUGAAAUGCGUAGAGAUCGGGAGGAACACCAGAGGCGAAGGCGGCGACCUGGACAGAUACUGACACUCAACUACGAAAGCGUGGGGAGCAAACAGGAUUAGAUACCCCCGUAGUCC
RNAcentral lists this ribosomal RNA (450 nucleotides) under uncultured bacterium. RNAcentral's name for it is "bacterial SSU rRNA". It matches the Rfam family "Bacterial small subunit ribosomal RNA", at positions 355 to 796 of the family's 1533-position model. The record is from RNAcentral.